Molecule: ribosomal RNA, 301 nt
Filed under: uncultured bacterium
Lineage: Bacteria
Description: partial 16S ribosomal RNA
Rfam family: Bacterial small subunit ribosomal RNA
Source: RNAcentral
CAUCGCCACGGGAAUACGUAGGGCGCAAGCGUUGUCCGGAAUUAUUGGGCGUAAAGAGCUCGUAGGCGGUCUGUCGCGUCUGGUGUGAAAUCCCGAGGCUCAACCUCGGGCUUGCAUCGGGUACGGGCAGACUAGAGUGCGGUAGGGGAGACUGGAAUUCCUGGUGUAGCGGUGGAAUGCGCAGAUAUCAGGAGGAACACCGAUGGCGAAGGCAGGUCUCUGGGCCGCAACUGACGCUGAGGAGCGAAAGCAUGGGGAGCGAACAGGAUUAGAUACCCCUGUAGUCCCUGUCUCUUAUACA